Molecule: long non-coding RNA, 1644 nt
Organism: Anolis carolinensis (green anole)
Lineage: Eukaryota; Metazoa; Chordata; Lepidosauria; Squamata; Anolidae
Exons: 2
Source: RefSeq, a predicted model, not a curated record
AUAAGAGCUUGGGCAUUUGGGGUAACGUUCAUUUACUGUGGGUGCCUCCCAGGACCCUCCCACACAGUCAUAUCACCCAGAAUAUCAAGGUAGAAAAUCCCACAAUAUAUGCUUUGAACUGGGUUAUCUGAGCCCACAGUGCCAUAUAUUCCAGGUCAAAGCAGAUACUGUGGGAUAUAUUCAGCUGUGUGGAAGGGCACAGUGACAGAUGUGAGGGCAAGUUCUGGCCACAUCCAGCACAAGGAGUCAUUGGCAGUUGAUCAUCAGGUUUUGUUCCACAUACUAAAAGCUAAGAAAAUCCUGAAGUUUGAGGUUCCGCUGCCAUGAAAACCUCAAGAACCCUCCUUUGUGGCUACAGCAAACCCUUUGUCUUCUUUGUCCUUUUUGCAAUGGGCACCAUUGUGGCUACGACCGUGGCAUCAGAGGAAUCUGCUGCCAUUGACUCUCAAUCUGUGACCCCCACUGCCACAACUGAGCGAAAAGAAGAUGCAAAAAUGACACCCAGUCCGGGGAAUCAUUCUGAGUUCUCAGAGGCAUCUCCGGAAGGGUCCAAUCCACCAGCUAAUUUGACUUCCAAAGAAACAAUUGCUGCCAUUGGCUCUCAAUCUGUGAACCACACUGCCACAGCCGGGCAAAAAGAAAAUGCAGAAAUCACACCCAGUCCAGGGAAGCGUUCUAAGGUCUCAGUGGCAUCUCCGAAAGGAACCAAUCCACCAGCUAAAUCGACUUCCAGUAAAACAACUACUAUCGACAAGGAUGCACUAGGACACAAUAUACUCAGAAAUAAUCGGUGCAGCUCUGAUGCAUGCACUUUGGGGAUUAACUCUAUCAUGAUAAUCUUGUUGUUGAGCCUAAGAAUCUAACCCUUUAAUAAUGUAACAAAUUUUGUGUGUAACCUGUAUUACUUGUAUAAUGUGUUGAUUUUUUAAAAUAUAUUUAAUGUAUAAAAUGUAUCUUCAAGACAGCUACCUCCCUGUCCCCUCAAUUUCCAUUAGGAACAGAGAUCAUCGCCAGAGUCCCUCCAGCUAUUUCCCAAGUCAGAUGGUAUUAGAACCUUUGUGUGUGUGUGUGUGUGUGUGUGUGUGUGUGUGUGUGUGUGUGUGUGUGUGUGCAAGACAGAUAAUCCCCUUUGUCACCAAGAUGAGCUCGGGAUGUUUGUCUGUUUAACUGAGGCUGAGAGAUUGCCACUCCCACAGAAGAGAAGACUCAGAAAGUAUGGAUUCAUUAAUUUCCUGAAUGGGCAGCCAAGCCCCUUGAUUACUUGAAACUGUCAUUUUUGUCUUUUGAGUUUUGCAUCUUUGUCUCCCACAGAACUGGACAUUUGAAUUAAUCAAGGAAUCAUCUGCAUACCCACGUCACCGCUUCCCCCAGUUUGGUGACCUCUCAGGUGGUGUCUUUGCAACUGAUUGGAACUUUAAACUGUCCAAACGUCAGCUGUUCCCUGGCCAAUCUCUAAGUAGAUCCAAGCCAGCCAAGCUUUUCUGCCAACCAGGGGAGGGAGAGGGAAGUCUGAAUAGCUAUCAGAAUUGCAAAAAUUGCCUGGUAUUUUUCAAUGCAUUUGUGCUUGUACCUUUGAAAGUGUGAUGCUUGUAUUUGCAUCCUUUUUGGUCAAAUCAUAAUAAACCUCUAAAGCUUUGCCUUCAA